This 74-nucleotide transfer RNA is filed under the name Acidimicrobiia bacterium. Its description in RNAcentral is "tRNA-Arg". It matches the Rfam family "tRNA". Rfam says of the family: Transfer RNA (tRNA) molecules are approximately 80 nucleotides in length. Lineage: Bacteria; Bacillati; Actinomycetota; Acidimicrobiia. The record is from RNAcentral. RNAcentral also lists the same sequence under 2 other names.
GCGCCCGUAGCUCAAUUGGAUAGAGCGUCUGAUUACGGAUCAGGAGGUUGGGGGUUCGAGUCCCUCCGGGCGUG